Molecule: long non-coding RNA, 173 nt
Organism: Octopus sinensis (East Asian common octopus)
Lineage: Eukaryota; Metazoa; Mollusca; Cephalopoda; Octopoda; Octopodidae
Exons: 3
Source: RefSeq, a predicted model, not a curated record
UAUAUAUAUAUAAACACCCAGCGCACACUGUAUAAAAGUGGUUGGCAUUAGGAAGGGCAUUCAGCUAUGGAAACCAACCCAAAUCAAACUGAAACCUGGUGCAGCUCUGCUGAUGGCCACCUCUUGACAAACCGUCCAACCCUUGCAAGCAUGGAAAAUGGACAUUAAAUGAU